This 423-nucleotide ribosomal RNA is filed under the name uncultured bacterium. Its description in RNAcentral is "bacterial SSU rRNA". It matches the Rfam family "Bacterial small subunit ribosomal RNA", at positions 356 to 772 of the family's 1533-position model. The record is from RNAcentral.
GGGGAAUAUUGGACAAUGGGGGCAACCCUGAACGAGCAACGCCGCGUGCAGGAUGAAGGUUUUCGGAUCGUAAACUCCUGUUGCUCGGGACGAAAAGCUUCGACCUAACACGUCGAGGUCUGACGGUACCUAUAGAAGAAGCCCCGGCUAACUUCGUGCCAGCAGCCGCGGUAAUACGAGGGGGGCAAGCGUUGUUCGGAAUUAUUGGGCGUAAAGGGCGCGUAGGCGGUUUGACAAGUCUCAUGUGAAAUCUUCGGGCUCAACCCGAAGCCUGCAUGGGAAACUGUCGGGCUUGAGUAUGGGAGAGGUGAGUGGAAUUUCCGGUGUAGCGGUGAAAUGCGUAGAUAUCGGAAGGAACACCUGUGGCGAAAGCGGCUCACUGGACCAUAACUGACGCUGAGGCGCGAAAGCGUGGGGAGCAAA